CUAACACAUGCAAGUCGAACGGCAGCACAGUAAGAUCUUGCUCUUAUGGGUGGCGAGUGGCGGACGGGUGAGGAAUACAUCGGAAUCUACCUUUUCGUGGGGGAUAACGUAGGGAAACUUACGCUAAUACCGCAUACGACCUUCGGGUGAAAGCAGGGGACCUUCGGGCCUUGCGCGGAUAGAUGAGCCGAUGUCGGAUUAGCUAGUUGGCGGGGUAAAGGCCCACCAAGGCGACGAUCCGUAGCUGGUCUGAGAGGAUGAUCAGACACACUGGAACUGAGACACGGUCCAGACUCCUACGGGAGGCAGCAGUGGGGAAUAUUGGACAAUGGGCGCAAGCCUGAUCCAGCCAUACCGCGUGGGUGAAGAAGGCCUUCGGGUUGUAAAGCCCUUUUGUUGGGAAAGAAAAGAAGUCGAUUAAUACUCGGUUGUUCUGACGGUACCCAAAGAAUAAGCACCGUCUAACUUCGUGCCAGCAGCCGCGGUAAUACUAAGGGUGCAAGCGUUACUCGGAAUUACUGGGCUUAAAGCGUGCGUAGGUGGUUGUUUAAGUCUGUUGUGAAAGCCCUGGGCUCAACCUGGGAAUUGCAGGGGAUUCUGUACG
RNAcentral lists this ribosomal RNA (604 nucleotides) under Stenotrophomonas rhizophila. RNAcentral describes it as "bacterial SSU rRNA". It matches the Rfam family "Bacterial small subunit ribosomal RNA", at positions 48 to 639 of the family's 1533-position model. The record is from RNAcentral. Lineage: Bacteria; Pseudomonadati; Pseudomonadota; Gammaproteobacteria; Lysobacterales; Lysobacteraceae.